AGCGAACGCUGGCGGCAGGCCUAACACAUGCAAGUCGAACGAACCUUCCGGGGUUAGUGGCGGACGGGUGAGUAACACGUGGGAACGUGCCCUUAGGUUCGGAAUAACUCAGGGAAACUUGUGCUAAUACCGAAUGGGCCCUUCGGGGGAAAGAUUUAUGGCCUUUAGAGCGGCCCGCGUCUGAUUAGCUAGUUGGUUGAGGUAAUGGAUCACCAAGGCGACGAUCAGUAGCUGGUCUGGGAGGAGGGUCAGCAACAUUGGGACAGGGACAAGGCCCAAAUCCUACGGGAGGGCGGAAAGGGGGACCCUGCGGCAAUGGGCGAGUGCUGAAGGCGCCCGGGCCGGUAAAAUGUGGAAGUCUUAGGAUUGUAAAAUUCUUUCACCGGGGACGAUAAUGACGGUACCCGGAGAAGAAGCCCCGGCUAACUUCGUG
This 433-nucleotide ribosomal RNA is filed under the name uncultured bacterium. Its description in RNAcentral is "partial 16S ribosomal RNA". It matches the Rfam family "Bacterial small subunit ribosomal RNA", at positions 29 to 507 of the family's 1533-position model. The record is from RNAcentral.